RNAcentral lists this ribosomal RNA (549 nucleotides) under Triticum aestivum (bread wheat). RNAcentral describes it as "partial small subunit ribosomal RNA". The record is from RNAcentral. Lineage: Eukaryota; Viridiplantae; Streptophyta; Magnoliopsida; Poales; Poaceae.
AUGGCAAAAUAUUUCUGCAGCAGCUCACUUGACAAAAAGGCAUUGCAUUGGGUUUCCUGGAAAGAAUUGGCUACUCCAAAGUGCAAGGGAGGGGUGGGGUUUCGAGACCCGCAUCUUUUUAAUCUGGCCAUGUUGGGCAAACACGGCUGGCGUCUUAUCACCAAUCCAAACUCACUGUGUGCUCGAGUUCUAAAGGGUCGGUACUUUCCAGAUACUGAUUUCAUGCAUGCUACAAUCCCGAAAUCUGCAUCGGCCACUUGGAGGGCAAUAGUAGCAGGAAGAAGCGCCCUAAAGGUGGGUUUGAUAUCCAGGGUUGGAGAUGGAUCCACCAUCUCAGUUUGGGAGGACAAAUGGGUACCGGGGACGGCGUCCAUGACACCUACUAUGAGGCCCGUGGAUACAGUCAUUGAUCGAGUAUCGGACCUAAUCGAUACUGAUCAUUGGACUUGGAAACAUGACGUGAUUACGGAGAACUUCACCAUCCAGGAUGCCGCUGCCAUCCUAAACAUCCCCAUCAGGCAAGGUGGAGGUGAAGAUUUUCUUGCUUGA